Molecule: ribosomal RNA, 468 nt
Filed under: uncultured bacterium
Lineage: Bacteria
Description: partial 16S ribosomal RNA
Rfam family: Bacterial small subunit ribosomal RNA
Source: RNAcentral
GACGAACGCUGGCGGCGUGCUUAACACAUGCAAGUCGAACGAUGAUGCCAGCUUGCUGGUGGAUUAGUGGCGAACGGGUGAGUAACACGUGAGCAACCUGCCCCUGACUUCGGGAUAACCGCGGGAAACCGUGGCUAAUACCGGAUAUGACGCGCUAUCGCAUGGUGGUGUGUGGAAAGAUUUAUCGGUUGGGGAUGGGCUCGCGGCCUAUCAGCUUGUUGGUGGGGUGAUGGCCUACCAAGGCGACGACGGGUAGCCGGCCUGAGAGGGUGACCGGCCACACUGGGACUGAGACACGGCCCAGACUCCUACGGGAGGCAGCAGUGGGGAAUAGUGCACAAUGGGCGCAAGCCUGAUGCAGCGACGCCGCGUGAGGGAUGACGGCCUUCGGGUUGUAAACCUCUUUCAGUAGGGAAGAAGGCCUUCGGGUUGACGGUACCUGCAGAAGAAGCGCCGGCUAACUACGUG